UGAACAAUAUCUUGAACAGUUUGUUGACAGAAGAUAGAGAGCACAGGUGAUCAUACCCAAAAAAGCUUUUGUGUGUGAGCAGUUUUGUGCUCUCUAUCUUCUGUCAAUGUACUUCUCA
This 118-nucleotide microRNA precursor is filed under the name Glycine max (soybean). RNAcentral's name for it is "miR156g stem-loop (gma-MIR156g)". Its record names the gene gma-MIR156g. Lineage: Eukaryota; Viridiplantae; Streptophyta; Magnoliopsida; Fabales; Fabaceae. The record is from miRBase by way of RNAcentral.